RNAcentral lists this non-coding RNA (224 nucleotides) under Oceanobacillus picturae. Its description in RNAcentral is "T-box sequence". It matches the Rfam family "T-box leader". From Rfam's summary of the family: Uncharged tRNA acts as the effector for transcription antitermination of genes in the T-box leader family. T-boxes are found upstream of many aminoacyl-tRNA synthetase genes and some amino acid biosynthetic genes usually in Gram-positive bacteria. The anticodon of a specific tRNA base pairs to a specifier sequence within the T-box motif, and the NCCA acceptor tail of the tRNA base pairs to a conserved bulge in the T-box antiterminator hairpin. Lineage: Bacteria; Bacillati; Bacillota; Bacilli; Caryophanales; Bacillaceae. The record is from RNAcentral.
UAAGUAGUGAAGAAGAGGAAAUGCAUUAUUUUACCGGUUAUCAGAGAGGGAAGGCUUGCUGGAAACUUCCUAACGCAGGGAAAUAAAUGUACCACCUCAGAGCUGUAUCGGGGAAACUAAGUAACCAAUACCGUAAUUGCUGCGUUAAAGCAACCAAAGCCAGUGAAUCUUUCAUUUCAUUGGGAAAUUGGGUGGAACCACGAACAUACACAUUCGUCCCUUAU